GUCCAGACUCCUACGGGAGGCAGCAGUGGGGAAUAUUGCACAAUGGGGGAAACCCUGAUGCAGCGACGCCGCGUGAGCGAUGAAGUAUUUCGGUAUGUAAAGCUCUAUCAGCAGGGAAGAAAAUGACGGUACCUGACUAAGAAGCCCCGGCUAACUACGUGCCAGCAGCCGCGGUAAUACGUAGGGGGCAAGCGUUAUCCGGAUUUACUGGGUGUAAAGGGAGCGUAGACGGCUGUGCAAGCCAGAUGUGAAAGCCCGGGGCUCAACCCCGGGACUGCAUUUGGAACUGUGUGGCUGGAGUGUCGGAGAGGCAGGCGGAAUUCCUAGUGUAGUGGUGAAAUGCGUAGAUAUUAGGAGGAACACCAGUGGCGAAGGCGGCCUGCUGGACGAUGACUGACGUUGAGGCUCGAAAGCGUGGGGAGCAAACAGGAUUAGAUACCCGGGUA
Molecule: ribosomal RNA, 446 nt
Filed under: uncultured bacterium
Lineage: Bacteria
Description: bacterial SSU rRNA
Rfam family: Bacterial small subunit ribosomal RNA
Source: RNAcentral